AUGAACGCUGGCGGCGUGCCUCAUACCUGCAAGUCGCGCGAACAGACGAGGAGCUUGCUCCUCUGACGUUAGCGGCGGACGGGUGAGUAACACGUGGAUAACCUACCUAUAAGACUGGGAUAACUUCGGGAAACCGGAGCUAAUACCGGAUAAUAUAUUGAACCGCAUGGUUCAAUAGUGAAAGACGGUUUUGCUGUCACUUAUAGAUGGAUCCGCGCCGCAUUAGCUAGUUGGUAAGGUAACGGCUUACCAAGGCGACGAUGCGUAGCCGACCUGAGAGGGUGAUCGGCCACACUGGAACUGAGACACGGUCCAGACUCCUACGGGAGGCAGCAGUAGGGAAUCUUCCGCAAUGGGCGAAAGCCUGACGGAGCAACGCCGCGUGAGUGAUGAAGGUCUUCGGAUCGUAAAACUCUGUUAUUAGGGAAGAACAAAUGUGUAAGUAACUAUGCACGUCUUGACGGUACCUAAUCAGAAAGCCACGGCUAACUACGUG
This 496-nucleotide ribosomal RNA is filed under the name uncultured bacterium. RNAcentral describes it as "partial 16S ribosomal RNA". It matches the Rfam family "Bacterial small subunit ribosomal RNA", at positions 29 to 507 of the family's 1533-position model. The record is from RNAcentral.